UGAUGCAGCGACGCCGCGUGAAGGAAGAAGUAUUUCGGUAUGUAAACUUCUAUCAGCAGGGAAGAAAAUGACGGUACCUGACUAAGAAGCCCCGGCUAACUACGUGCC
This 108-nucleotide ribosomal RNA is filed under the name uncultured bacterium. Its description in RNAcentral is "partial 16S ribosomal RNA". It matches the Rfam family "Bacterial small subunit ribosomal RNA", at positions 384 to 509 of the family's 1533-position model. The record is from RNAcentral.